CUGCCGUGAACGCGAUCGACCUCCUCGGCAAACCGCCUCGUCUCUGCUUUCACCGGCUCCUAUUCCGUUCUGUCACUCUUUCCGUACUUGUCUCCGUUGCAGAAUCCGCGCGCAGAAGCGGUCUUCGGCACUUAAACACGCACACGCACGUACACUCACCUCUACCUGUCCAUCAUGGCUGCAUCGUCGCACCAGCACUCUCUUGUGCUGGAGCGUUCCACCUGUCAGCACUACUACCACUGUGUGUUGUACGACAUCUCGUUUGACCUCCCUUUGCGGGAAAUCGCGGCGCAGGUGGUGCCGAGCAACGACUCAGAUAUAGUGCAGCGGCUCACAAGCGUCGAUUGCCGCGUUGUCCCGCAUCAGCUGCACGUGUACAAGGAACCACUGGAGAAGAAGUUCGGCUAUGUUUCCUUCUUUGUUCACCAGGCACCGCACUCCUCAACGGCCGCCGAUGACGUUCACCGUCUUGUGCGCGAGUGGGUUGCCGUCGAUCUCGCCUCCCAGUUGGCGGCAGUGCAAUGCAAGGUGCAGCUCGCCCAGCCGCCAGAGUGCCAUUCGUCGGAGCCGUUUCUGAACGCGCUCCGCCUCCAGUGCCCCCUGCUCGACCCCAAGCUGGCGCCAGACACGAAGAAACUCGAGACGUUUGUGCUCACCCGCGUGCGCUUUGGCCAGCGCUGCGAUAAUGCGUCUAUCAAUCAGCUGAAUGCCAUGCACUGCGACAACGCAAGGGCCGCUGCUUCCGCGGGUAGUGGUGGAGCUGAAACGGAAAUGUGCACAGAUGACCGGGUGACGGCGACGGAGGGCGAGCUGGAUGUGGGUGCGCACAGCGCAACUCGCACACUGCAUGAGCAUGUGUGGAAGUGCGUCGGCACCUUCUCGAUCGCUGCCCUGUCGCCCAAAGAACUCGUAUGGCUGAAGAAGCAGCUGCCUUCCUUUCCGCCGCUGCGCAUCACGAACGGGGACAUAGGCACGGCCCACUGCGAUGAAGCAAAACUGGCCCAGUUUUUUGGGACCUCGCUCGCUCCUCUGUUCACCGUGGACGAGGUGACGGGGGCAGCAGCCGUAAAUACCGUGAACUUGGAGGCAUAAUUGACAGAGGGUGUACACUGGUACAGUUGCAUUGUUUUUUUUUUUGCCUGCGGUUCGUUUUGUGAAUGUGUGAGCAUGUGUGUAGGUGCGCGUUUGCCUGUCUCCAGCUUUCUCUGUGUGCUGCUCUCCUUUUCUCUUAACGUCGCGCUUGAGGCGGAUAGGUGAGCUCCCGGGAGGGCAAGCGUGUGUGUGUGUGUGUGUGUGCGGUGGAAUUCAGCCGGGUACGACCGCACAAGACCUGCGCCUCCCUUUUUUUUGUUUGUUUUCGCCACCCGUCCGUCUUUGCUGUUAUUUUCUCUCGCAUAAUGGCGACGCUCUCCCUCCCUUGUUCUUUUUUUUCCCUUCGUUUGCCGCCUCGCCUCCUCUUAUUCUCUGGUGUGCGGACGUGUGUACUGUGAUGCGCGUUUUGUGCCGUCAGCAUCUAUUUUUUUUUUCUUUUUUGUCUGCCGCUCUCCUUUGUCACAUUUCUGAUCCUGCGGGCCACUUUACCGUGGCUUCGGGGUCUCGGGCAACUUCUGUGGAGAAGUUAAGCAGUCCGCAACCCGCACUCGGUUACGGCUGCGGUUUCUUGGUGACGGCGGGGAGGCCUCUGAUGGCGCUGUGCCCAAGAGACGUGCAGUGAUGAUGAUCACGCUUGCAUCAGGUGACUCUGACUCUGCCCGCUGACUCAACAAUGAUACGCCUUCAGGUAAAGCUUCUCUGCCUUUUCUGCGCUGCAUUGAUCUCAAGCUUAGCCCCUUACUUAUGCCGCACUGCAUGCAGUUCCGUUUCAGUGGCCUGAACGGCGCCACGUGGUGUUGGCUGUACCGGUUUCCUGACGAAUCGUCGCUGCAAGUCUGCAGUCUCCACGAGACGGGUUCUACCACCACCACGGGCCUGCCAAGGCGUCGGUUCUCCCGCGUUAUUAGCAGUCCAGCAUGGCAAGUGAGAAGAGGCACGACGCUGGCAUUUGCGUGCCCAUACAAGCGGAUGUAUGAACAAGUGUAGGCCCCAUUACCCAAACUGAAGAGUGACCGCACCGUGUUAUGGAAUGCAGCAGCUUGAAGCAACUUGGAUGGGAGGGGGGGGGCAUGGCAUCCCAGGAUGGUGUGCAGGCUCUCUCCGAGAGCCCUGACCUGCAGCUGGCGGAGUGCCUCCUGGAGCUCAUCCGGCACGCGCCUCUGCCCAGCCCCUAUUCCCCGCAUGGCAGACGCCGAUGCUUUUCGCCCUCGAGCAGCACCCUGGACGCGACUGGCUUGGGUGAAGGCGUGCGAUGCGCCCACGUCUCCGUCUGACGCCCGAGGCGCAUCACGUGUGCGAAGAAGGGACGAGAACCUCUUGCUAGACACAUGGCCCUGAUUCGACGGCAGGGCAGCUGGUCCUGGCGGAGAGGAUUGAGCCGUGGUGCAGUAGACGUGGUUCAGCUCUGCUUGUGUGUAUGCAUGGUUGCUGCUGGCCCGUGCGUGAGGGAAUGACACGCUCUAUAAGCAGCUCCCUCCCUUCCCCGUUUCUACCGCCAG
Molecule: unclassified non-coding RNA, 2591 nt
Filed under: Leishmania donovani
Lineage: Eukaryota; Euglenozoa; Kinetoplastea; Trypanosomatida; Trypanosomatidae
Description: gene:LdHU3.32.1560(CDS-product:hypothetical_prote in_conserved)
Source: RNAcentral